This is a long non-coding RNA of Megalopta genalis, 1080 nucleotides long. RefSeq lists it as uncharacterized. NCBI's taxonomy places the organism in Eukaryota, Metazoa, Arthropoda, Insecta, Hymenoptera, Halictidae. The record is from RefSeq and is a predicted model, not a curated record.
GAGUUAUAUAUAAUAUGUAGUAUAUAAUAUAUAGAGUUCCAGUUAAAAAUUAGCCGAGUCCCCGAUCGCGGAGACGAUUAAAAUGAACGUUGCAAUGAACUGUUAAAGAUCCGACGUGUCCUAUUUCAGAUUCAGAUAAACGCGUCGAGCGGUCGGCUGCCACAGUCGGAUGCCUCGUAUCCUGUCGUACCUCUAGCGUGGUCUAAAAAUACUGUCAACAGAAGAAAAUGGCAUUAUUAGCCGCGAACGAUUCCGAAAGCACGGCCGACGUUCGAUUUCUUGGAUCCGUUUCGUCGAGCAGCCUUCGUCGGCGCACGAUAAUACGGCGAAAAAUUGUACAACUCCGGCAGCCAAUUAAAUAACACGGGAGACCGGCGCAGGAUCGAGAUAACGCCACAGGAAAUUUCUUUCGUUCGUUAACCGAUACGCAGACACGACAUAUGCGACAGGAUCUCCUCGAUAGCCCCCAGGAAAUACCGUAAGACGUCUGCUUUUUUUCGCCUAAAAUCUGUUACGAGCCGAAGACUGGCCAGUUAUAAAUGACCGAGAUUCGUUUGGACUUUCUUGGAUUUUGCAAUGGUUGCGAUUGAUAGCCAAUGCUUGUUUCACCCCCCGGGAGCCACGGGGUAGGAUUUCGUGGACCAACCGAUGCUUAUUUCAUCAAAGGGUCGCCACUAAGAAACAGAUUUGUGGACUAGCUAUUACUUAUUUCAUCAAAGAGCCGCCACUAGGAUAAAUGGAAUUAUUGUUUGUCUCGUAACGUUAAAAAGAGAAAUGCAGAACAAGGAAGUGAAAUAAUUGACUCGAAGACUCUAUAUACAGAUGAAAAGGUAACGUUCGCGAUGCGAACAAUUAUUACGAACCGCUGUUAAACGAUCGACGUUUUCCGCCUAGCAACAAAUUAACUUGCUACGGUAAAAGAUGUUUACCUUAUCGUUGCGCACAUAUGGCAAGCAUCUGCGGUUCUGGCUGCCAUUUGCACUAACGAGUAUCGUAUCGCGAAUGUAAAGAAGCGUCGCGUUUUAAUUAACUCGUCGCUUUUAUAGAAUUUCUGAGAGUAACAUAUUCAAUUUCGCACGA